This 260-nucleotide ribosomal RNA is filed under the name uncultured prokaryote. RNAcentral describes it as "partial 16S ribosomal RNA". It matches the Rfam family "Bacterial small subunit ribosomal RNA", at positions 524 to 782 of the family's 1533-position model. The record is from RNAcentral.
UACGGAGGAUCCGAGCGUUAUCCGGAAUUAUUGGGUUUAAAGGGUGCGUAGGCGGCCAUUUAAGUCAGCGGUGAAAUUUUGCAGCUUAACUGUAACAGUGCCGUUGAUACUGUUUGGCUAGGAUUGGGUUGUAGUGUGCGGAAUGUGUGGUGUAGCGGUGAAAUGCUUAGAUAUCACACAGAACACCGAUUGCGAAGGCAGCACACUAAGUCAUUAUUGACGCUGAGGCACGAAAGUGUGGGGAGUCAAACAGGAUUAGA